AAGCGGUGAGGUGGGAAAGGUUCCUCAUGCGCCCUCUGGGUUAAAAGAGAUGCAGGAUACGCCGCCCUGCCAUUU
This 75-nucleotide non-coding RNA is filed under the name Brevibacillus laterosporus DSM 25. RNAcentral's name for it is "skipping-rope RNA". It matches the Rfam family "skipping-rope RNA". Rfam says of the family: Firmicutes, Fusobacteria, AlphaProteobacteria, Spirochaetes. Lineage: Bacteria; Bacillati; Bacillota; Bacilli; Caryophanales; Paenibacillaceae. The record is from Rfam by way of RNAcentral.